Small nuclear RNA from Dipodomys spectabilis (banner-tailed kangaroo rat), 107 nucleotides. NCBI's taxonomy places the organism in Eukaryota, Metazoa, Chordata, Mammalia, Rodentia, Heteromyidae. The record is from RefSeq and is a predicted model, not a curated record.
GUACUCGUUUCAGCAGCCCAUAUCCUAAAAUUGCAAUGAGAGAGAGAAGAUUAGCAUGGCCCCUGCACAAGGAUGACAUUCAAAUUCAUGAAGUGUUCCAUCUUUUU